GAUAUCAAUAAGCGGAGGAAAAGAAACCAACAGGGAUUGCUUCAGUAACGGCGAAGUGAAGCGGCAACAGCUCAAAUUUGAAAUCUGGCCGCAAGGUCCGAGUUGUAAUUUGUAGAGGAUGCUUUUGGCGAGGUGCCUUCCGAGUUCCCUGGAACGGGACGCCAUAGAGGGUGAGAGCCCCGUACGGUAGGACCACCAAGCCUCUGUAAAGCUCCUUCGACGAGUCGAGUAGUUUGGGAAUGCUGCUCUAAAUGGGAGGUGUACGUCUUCUAAAGCUAAAUACCGGCCAGAGACCGAUAGCGCACAAGUAGAGUGAUCGAAAGAUGAAAAGCACUUUGAAAAGAGGGUUAAAAAGUACGUGAAAUUGUUGAAAGGGAAGCAUUCAUGACCAGACUUGGGCUUGGUUGAACAUCCGGCGUUCUCGCCGGUGCACUCUGCCAGUCCAGGCCAGCAUCAGUUUGCCCCGGGGGAUAAAGGCGGCGGGAAUGUGGCUCCCUUCGGGGAGUGUUAUAGCCCGUCGUGUAAUGCCCUGGGGCGGACUGAGGAACGCGCUUCGGCACGGAUGCUGGCGUAAUGGUCAUCAAUGACCCGUCUUGAAACACGGACCAAGGAGUCGUCUUCGUAUGCGAGUGUUCGGGUGUCAAACCCCUACGCGUAAUGAAAGUGAACGUAGGUGAGAGCUUCGGCGCAUCACCGACCGAUCCUGAUGUUCUCGGAUGGAUUUGAGUAAGAGCAUACGGGGCCGGACCCGAAAGAAGGUGAACUAUGCCUGUAUAGGGUGAAGCCAGAGGAAACUCUGGUGGAGGCUCGCAGCGGUUCUGACGUGCAAAAUCGAUCGUCAAAUAUGGGCAUGGGGGGCGAAAGACUAAUCGAACCUUCUAGUAGCUGGUUUCCGCCGA
Molecule: ribosomal RNA, 899 nt
Filed under: Sarocladium kiliense
Lineage: Eukaryota; Fungi; Ascomycota; Sordariomycetes; Hypocreales; Sarocladiaceae
Description: LSU rRNA
Rfam family: Eukaryotic large subunit ribosomal RNA
Source: RNAcentral